GCCACCACCAGCAGGGGAGGAAGGGAGGAGGAAACAGCACCUUAUUUAAAUGCAAAUGAUUGCAAUACAACUUUCUUUAUUAAAAUGCAAAUUGCACUUCAGUCUCUGACACCUCCUGAGUGCCAUAGCCACAGAACACAACCAGGAAUGAAAGCCGGAGGACCCCGCGCCUAGGAUGCCUGGAGCUCCUGGAGCGGCCUCGGGUUCCAUCCCUCCUCCCUCCCAGCAUGGAGAAGACUUGGCCUGCUGGUGAUGCCCCUGCAGGAUUCUGUGAGGGAAGCUGCUGGGGGUUCACCCAGUCCCUGACUAAUAACAGACUGAACUCACAACAAUGACAUGACAUCGGGCAACAGCCCCUGGCACCUGGCAAGGACUGGACUGAUGACUCAGGCCCCACCUCCACUUCCAGCUUCUCUGGUGGAAGAGUCCCUCAUGCCGAUGAGCCAGAAAUGGGAAGGUGCUUCGUGGUGGAGCAGACCCCAUCAGUGCUGCCCAUGUCCCCUCCACCCUUCUUCAACUCAGUGCCCACCCACUCGCCUUCCAGGCGCUCAGUCUCACAGAGUGCCACGUCUGGAGUCUGCGCUGCCCUCCUACGCGGCAGCCCCAGCAGUGGGAGCUGGGAGGCCCUGGGCGCGGUAACUGUGGGGCAGGUUCUGGCUGCCUCCCAGCAUUCCCAGCAGCAUCGCGCUCCACUUGCCCACAGCAGCUGCCUUCCCUCCUGUCUCCCUCCCCACAUCCACCAAUUAAACUGGAAUCCAAUUGGAUUUGAAUCCUUGCCUCAAGGCCCACCUCUGGGGAGGCCCAACUAAGAGUUCUACACAGUUGUGAGCUAGCUCCCUGCAGGACCCAGUGACUACAGUGACUAAGAGGCUGGAGUGGAGGGCGCAGUGGCAAGGUCUGACUUCAGCCGCUCUGAUGGCUCUGGGGCCAGGACUUUUGGCAGACACUUUGUUAUCAGGCUCUGCAGAUUCGGCUGCUGUCGGUGCUGUGACAGGAGCCAUCUCCUCUUGUGUUCUCGGUCUACAUGUCUUCUUAUCAGCCCUUCUAAAAGGGCUGGCAGCUGGUGGGUGGCAGCAAAGUCAUGCCCACUUCUCAGGGAAAUGGGAUCCGAAAACUGUGGAAGAUUAUUAACGUGCAUUGGGUGUUUACCGUAUUACAUUUUGUUUACUCUCGUAACAACCCUGUAGACGGGGCUGCCAUAUACAGUCAGGCAGGUUGGUUGUUCACUGCACAAGGGAACCUGGCCAAGAGUGCAGCCUAUGUUCUUUCCAUAUAGUGUGAGCCAGCCACUGCCCUGCUUAUGAGCUGUAUCAUUGUCUCCAUUUUAGUGUAGAGGCACAGAGAGUUUAAGUAAUUUGUCCAAGAUUUCUCAGCACAUAGGAGGUUGUGCUGAGCUCUUAAUCUAAGAAUUUUGGCUGCAGAGCCUGCAUUACUAACUAUACUGCCUCACACUGCCUUGACAGGGCAGAGCCAUCGUGAGAGCUAGAAACCCCAGGAGGGCUCCAACUCCUGGGCACCAGUCAGGCCUGGGACACAGGGACUCCAGAGAAGCAGGGGGAGAGGGUCACCUCCCCUAGCUGACCCGGGGUCUGGGGCCCCAAGUCUGAGCUGCCUGCCUCGGGUGUCCACGGAACCUGGUGCAAACAGAAUAACGGCAAUGGCUAAGAGGGCUUUACCUGGUGCUAGGUGCUGGGGGUUUAUAUUUGUUUACUCACUGGAUCUUCCUAAGAACCUGAGGGUGUGUGCCAGUGGCUGCUCUUGGCCAUUGAUGUCCUCUCCCACCCCCUCCCCAGGCACACCACUGGGCCACGUCUCUUGGCCUCCCUUGCAGCUAGGUAUACCUGUGUAACCUCCUGUUGCAGUGGGAGCAGGGAGACUGGCUCUGUGAUCCUGUCUCUGUGAUCCUGAGCAAGUCACCGGCCUUGCUCAUGGAGCCUCCGCUUCCCCAUCUGUAAAAUGGAAUCAACACGUCCCACCCUGCCUACCUCCCUGGCCAGGACUAAGCCAGCUGUAUGAAGGUUUUAAAAAUCACACCUGGAACUGCCUAGGCCAAAGCUUAACACUUACCUGUCAUCUGCUUAAUACAGCUCCUAUUUCCAGUCUAGGUCUGUCUGUGGAAAUCCCUUACCUUUCACUGCCCAGGAGCCAGUCCUUCCUCAGGCGGCCUUCCUUCCUUCUCAGACACAGAAUAGCAGAGCCCACAUGCCAGGGCACCCCCCGCUAAUGACUCAGCCUCUAUAACGAGUCCAAACAUCUGGCUGACAAAGGGCACGGCUCGCUCCUGAAGCAGCUCCUUCUGCACAAAUAUGUUCUUAAUAUUCAAUUAGUAUUUAUCCACCACGAACAACAAUUACACCAUUGACUCUCAAUGAAGUGCCUGGUUAAUUAAUUAACACAGUCUUUUACAUGCUGGCAGUAUUUCUCAGUGAGUGCAAUAGUUAAAAUAAUAGCACAGUGACGCCACGAUGAGCUGGGGGGCUGGCGGGGGUGCCCUGGGUUUCCUGGGCUCCAGAUGUGAUUCUGGAGCCAAUGUUUACCACACAAAGCAUCUUCUGGACUUAAAAGGAAAAAAAUCACACUGGGAUUUUUGGCAGGCCUCUUAACGCCUCCCAGUUUCCUCCUCAGUAGGGGCUGGGCCGGAUGCCCACCCCGGUUCCUUGAGUCCUAUAAGCAUAGGUUCUGUAAGUGACAUUCAUACCUGUACAGACACCCCCUCAGGUUGCCACACCCAGGGGCCCUCUAGGCUCCACGGGGCCCAGCAUCUCGGAGCAGCUGACUCAAGACACCACUCUCGCCUCCCUGGCCCUCACCGACUAAUCCAGCACCCCCUCCUCAGGCCUCAUUUCUCCUUCCUGCUCCUUCCUGUGGGUGUUUUCAGAGCUCAGGUCUGACUUCAGCUUCGGUUUCUGACCUUGCUCUUCUCUGAGUCUCCUCACCACCUCAUUUGCAGCCCACAGGUCCUGACUGUCCCCAUCUUUGCUCCUGCCUUUAUCAGAGCCUGCUGAGGGUACAGAGCACAGCAGCCAUGCUGCCUGGGUCACCUGGCAUGGCCACUUACUGGCUGUGUAACCCAGGGCAAGUUACUCAACCCCCACUACCCCUUGCCUUGGUUCCCCUACUUCUAGAAUGGGGAUAAUCCUGUGGGAGAUGAUUGUAGCCGCCACCUGCACCAGCCAGGGUGGGCUGAGCUGCCGUACCAGGCCCAUGGCGCAUUGAGUGCAUUGGCUCAAGCACAGCUGCACCUUCUUUCCCACUCCUGUUUCAGUGCAGGGCAGCCUACGCCAGCAGACGGGCCCCUGCGGAGCAGUGACCAAAGGGCCCAGGCUCUUUCUGUCUUGUUGCUCCACCUUCCCCAGGGGCCCUGCCCUUGUUGUCCCCAUGGUCCCUGUGGUCUCCACGGGCCAGGGCCCUGCUAAAGGCAGAUCAGACACUUUUCUGAAGGCCUGGCUGGCAUCCCUCCCACCCAGCUUCCUUUGGUGACAAGGGGGUUACACAGGUACUCCUAGCUGCAAGGGUGGCCAGGGGAUGUGGUCCAGUGGUGUGCCCUGGGAGAGAGUGGGAGAGGACAUCAAUGACCAAGAGCAGCUUCUGCCACACACCCUCAGGUCCUUAGGAAGAUCCAAAGAGUCAAUAAAUAUAAACCCCCAGCACCUGGCACCGGGUAAAGCCCUUUCAGCCAUUGCUGUUAUUCUGUGUGCCCACACCAUGUUCCAUGGGCACCAGAAUCAAUGAGACACAUUCCUGUGUGUAAGAACCCCACUGAGGAGGAUGGUAGAGGAGAGACACAUAUAACUCACCUACCACAAUUCAGGAGGUGAACACCCAAGGUACAUACAACAUGCCAUGGGACAGGUGGGAGGAAGUGAGGGGCUGGGAGGGGACUGUGGGCUGAUUCUGGAGGAAUGGUGGCAGUUGAACAGGUGGGAGGGGACUCGAGGCCUGGAUCUGCAGCCAGGUCUGUGCUACAGCCAAGUCAGUCAAAUUAAAUUUCUCCCAAAUAUACCAUUAGUUGCCCAUGCAGGUGGAGAAGCCAUUUUUGACUCUGUUAAACAUUUUUUUGAGUUCCCCAACUGAUUCAAAAUGUUGGGAAACAGAAGGGUUUGGCUCUUUGGGAAGUUGGUCCGUGACAGACACCGCUGGUUGCCCACCCAGCAGACAAGAUCGCUUCUUCUGGUGGGGAGGCUCAGAGAAGGGAGGCCACACAUGAUUGUCAAAGCCGGUCAUGGCAAGCCCAUUGCUCCCUUUUGCCAGUGAUUGGCUUAAAUGUGUGCAUGUGACCCAAUUUCAGCCAAUAAACAAUAAAAAUAAGUCAGUUAGAAGGAUUCUAGGAAAGAUUUUACUCCCUGAUAAAAAGAGCCAUAUGCUAGGAGAGGAGCUCUCCCUUCCUGCUUUUGGAUAUUAUGGUGUGAGCGUGUGAUGUGGCAGCCACUUUGUGACCAUUAGGAAAAACAUGGCUGACAUGCUGAGAAUAGCAGAGUGGAGGGAGGAGCAAAAAUAGGACCCAAGAUAAUGUACUGAACCGCUGGACCUGCCCUGGACGUAUUCAACCUCCUGACAUCUUGUUAAGCAAGCCUGUGACCUUAAACCAGCUACUUCAACUUCUUCAUCUGUAGAAUGCAUAACAAUAGCACCUACCUCACAGGGCUGUUAUGAGAAUAAAAGUGAUUUAUUUGCAAAACCCUUAAAAAUAUGCCUGCACAGAUGUCUGCCACUGUUGGUGUUAAAUAACUAGAAGUAAUUAAAAAAACUCCUGUUGGUUAAGCCAUUUUGAGUGGCUUUCCUGUUACUUGCAGCCAAAAGCAUCCUGGCUGAUACUCAGGUGGUGAAGAAUGAGCACCUUCAGCAGAAGGCAGGGCUGAAAAGCUGGCACGCAGGAGCCUGGGUCAGGGCUGGGGUGGAUGUGAGGACCCUGGAAGGACCUGGAGCCUCCAGGAGGAUGGUGUGAUGUGCUGCUGUCUGAUAUGCCCCAGGAGGGGACAGCUGGUGUCUGCAGGGGCUGGGUGAUCAGGGGACAUCCACCCCUUGUCUCUACCAGUUGCAUUCCAGCACACAGUCUUGGCUCAAAGGGCCAAACAGAUGCCUGCUGCAGAGGGGAUUUGAGCCCUGGACAGGAUGGCCUUUCAGGUUCACAGGGGUGGCAGGAAGAUUUGACUCUGUGUGCCUCAGUCUCACCUCCAAACCAUUGAAGAGCCCUUUCUUUCUUUUUCCUUUUUUUCUUUUUUUCUUUCUUUCUUUUCUUUCUUUCUUUCUUUUUCCUUCUUUCCUUCCUUCCUUCCUUCCUUUUCUUUCCUUCCUUCCUUCCUUCCUUUUCUUUCCUUCCUUCCUUCUUCCUUUCUUUCUUCCUUUCCUUCUUUCUUUCUUUCUUAGACGGAGUCUGACUCUGUCUCCCAGGCUGGAGUGCAGUGGCGUGAUCUCGGCUCACUGCAACCUCCGCCUCCCAGCUUCAAGAGAUUCUCCUACCUCAGCCUCCCGAGUAGCUGGGAUUACAGGUGCCUGCCACCACGCCCAGCUAAUUUUUUGUAUUUUUAGUAUAGACAGAGUUUC
Molecule: long non-coding RNA, 5544 nt
Filed under: Homo sapiens (human)
Lineage: Eukaryota; Metazoa; Chordata; Mammalia; Primates; Hominidae
Description: HSALNT0105305
Source: RNAcentral